Raphanus sativus (radish) is the source of this 912-nucleotide long non-coding RNA. RefSeq lists it as uncharacterized. NCBI's taxonomy places the organism in Eukaryota, Viridiplantae, Streptophyta, Magnoliopsida, Brassicales, Brassicaceae. The transcript has 3 exons. The record is from RefSeq and is a predicted model, not a curated record.
UCACCAGGUAUAUAUAUACCUCUCAGCCAUCAAAAUCUACAUUUAGAGUAGAUAUUAAAGAUAACAACAAAAUGUUGCAGGUGGUUUCACUUUGUUAAGCUCCGUCUCUACUACAUGACGCAAAUAUUAGAAUGAUGUUUCCACCUGAUGUUAUUGAAAAAGCUAAACAUUUUCUUUUCUUGAACUCAGGAGGAGCUUAUAGUGACUCAAGAGAUCUUCUGGAAGUUAGAGAAGAGGUUGCUGAGUUCAUUGACGCCAUGGGUACCCAGGUUAUUGCUUUCAGCUUUGUUUUUAGACAACUGAGAUGUAUUUGUCGUAAAAGCAAAGCCAGCUCAGGGUUAUUAUUUGUCAUCUUCAUAUCUCAGGGACCAAGAACUAACAUUUUUCACUGAUGGAUCUAGCAGAGGUGUGAAACAAAUCUAGAACUAUGUUAUACACGGAGAGGGAGACGGGGUAAUGCUCUGUCCCAAGAGGUCUUAGUAACUGCUACAAUUUUACUUCUGACACUUCUUCUCUAGCUAUUUGCACCACCAAAAUUUCUCAUUGGCCGAUGAAUCGACCAAAAGGCUUCAUUGCUCUGAAGGUGAUGAUGAGAUGAAUGGGUGUCAUAUUUUCCCCGAAGAGAUGAGAUCAAAGCUUAUUACUGUGUCCUUGCGGAUUUGUCUAUGUCUUUUCUCUCAUAUGGAGAUCAAAGUAAAUGAUAAGCUUCCCCCAAACAAGUAUUAGAAGACAAGUGGUAACAGUGGAGACGCAAGUUACCAAAAACGUGGCGGUAGUACAUGUCGAUCGUGGUACUGGUACAUGGCGGUAGUACAUGUCGAUCGUGGUACUGGUAUACGUGGAUCGUCUUCAUCAUUUUAAGAAAGAAUCAUUAAUAAGUUUUAUUGUUUAAUUCUUUUUGCUUGGCUUAGU